AACGUAGGGGGCCAGCGUUGCUCGGAAUUACUGGGCGUAAAGGGUCCGUAGGCGGUGUAGCAAGUCGGAAGUGAAAUCUCUGGGCUUAACUCAGAGGCUGCUUCCGAAACUGCUGUGCUAGAGUGCGAGAGAGGCGAGUGGAAUUGCGGGUGUAGCGGUGAAAUGCGUAGAUAUCCGCAGGAACACCGACGGCGUAGGCAGCGCCCUGGACGAGACCUGACGCUCAGGCACGAAAGCGCGGGGAGCGAACAGG
RNAcentral lists this ribosomal RNA (253 nucleotides) under uncultured bacterium. Its description in RNAcentral is "partial 16S ribosomal RNA". It matches the Rfam family "Bacterial small subunit ribosomal RNA", at positions 524 to 776 of the family's 1533-position model. The record is from RNAcentral.